Molecule: RNA transcript, 3160 nt
Organism: Pongo pygmaeus (Bornean orangutan)
Lineage: Eukaryota; Metazoa; Chordata; Mammalia; Primates; Hominidae
Gene: NIPSNAP3A
Gene name: nipsnap homolog 3A
Exons: 5
Source: RefSeq, a predicted model, not a curated record
AACGGGGACCAACGCUCAGCAUAGCAGAGAAAGACACCAAGCUACGGGACCCGCCGCGCCUCCCGCGCCAGGGUGGAGUUGACCCCGCCGAGCCCCGCCCCAGCCUGCGUCUGCCAAUGAUCCAGGAGCCACUCCUUUCCACUCAGGAAACCUUCAGAGGAGUCUCAGAAAGGACACGGCUGGCCGCUUUUCUCAGCGCCGAAGCCGCGCCAUGCUCCUCCUCAGAAGCGCCCUGACUCGGGCGCUGGCCUCACGGACGCUGGCGCCUCAGGUGUGCUCAUCUUUUGCUACAGGACCCAGACAAUACGAUGGAAUAUUCUAUGAAUUUCGUUCUUAUUACCUUAAGCCCUCAAAGAUGAAUGAGUUCCUGGAAAAUUUUAAGAAAAACGCUCAUCUUCGGACAGCUCACUCUGAAUUGGUUGGAUACUGGAGUGUAGAAUUUGGAGGCAGAAUGAAUACAGUGUUUCAUAUUUGGAAGUAUGAUAAUUUUGCUCAUCGAACUGAAGUUCGGAAAGCCUUGGCCAAAGAUAAGGAAUGGCAAGAACAGUUCCUCAUUCCAAAUUUGGCUCUCAUUGAUAAACAAGAGAGUGAGAUUACUUAUCUGGUACCAUGGUGCAAAUUAGAAAAACCUCCAAAAGAAGGAGUCUAUGAACUGGCCACUUUUCAGAUGAAACCUGGUGGGCCAGCUCUGUGGGGUGAUGCAUUUAAAAGGGCAGUUCAUGCUCAUGUCAAUCUAGGCUACACAAAACUAGUUGGAGUGUUCCACACAGAGUACGGAGCACUCAACAGAGGUACAAUUGUCCAUUUCUUCUUAUAUGAAAUUGUAAUAUAUAUUGUGACCUAAGUUCCUUGGGUAAGUUUCUUUCUCAUUAUAGAGUAUGUUUUAUUAUUUAUUGCCAAAUGUUUAGUUUUUUGUAAUUUUCAAAAUUGAGAAAAUCUGUUUUACAUCUUAUUUAUUUAGAAUGUUAACUUAUGAAACCUUCAAAUGCUGAAUAGCUGUUUUCCCUCAUACAUCAAAAUGAUUAAAUUUUUUAAACUGAAGGAACCUCGGCUGGGCAUGGUAGCUCAGGCCUCUAAUCCCAGCACUUUUGGAGGCUGAGGGGGGCUGGUCUCAAACUCCUGACCACAGGUGAUCCGCCCGCCUCGGCCUCCCAAAGUGGUGGGAUAAGAGGCAUGAGUCACUACGCCAAGCCUCUACCUUAAUUUUCUAUACUGCACAUAUAUAAGUUUUAUUUUUUAAAAAACUACAGAAAAUGUGUGUUCAUACACUUUUUAAUCUUAAAUUCAUUCUCAGUGUUAGGAGAAUUGGUAAUCAGUACAGCAUUUCUGGAGGACAGUGUAUACUAUAUACACUACAUGUAAGUACAUAUAUAUAAGACAUGCUGUUUGGUUCUCUCAACUUAAAUUCUACUUUAUAUUAAGGAAAUAAUCAGAUUCAGACUACCUGGGUUUGAAUCCCAGGUACACUACUUACUUUUUGACUUUGGGUAAGUAAACCUCACCAUACCUUAGUUUUUUCAUCUAUAAAAUGAUAGAUUAUUAUGAGGACCUAGAUUAUUAUGAGGAUUAAAUGAGUUAAUACAUUAAAAUGCUUAAAACUAGGCCUGACACAUAGUUAUCAUUCAAUAAAUGUCAGUAGUUGUCAUCGAAAGUAUUAUUAUAAACAUAUAGUUGUGCUCAAAUGAAGUUUAUGUUAAUAUUGUUUACAUUAAAGAAACAUUGGAAAUGUAGUAUGACCUUCUUUAUGUAAUACAUACGUAAUACAGAAAUCGAUAUACAUGUACAUCAUAUCGUGUAUUUACGUAAGCAUAAGCAAAUAUGCUCAUAUAUGUUUAUUUGUAUAAAUAUACAACUAUAUAUAAAAAUAUAGGCCAGGCGUGGUGGUUCACGCCUGUAAUCCCAACACUUUGGGAUGCCAAGGUAAUAGGAUUGCUUGAGGCCAGAAGUUCGAGACCAGCCUGGGCAACAAAGUGGGAACCUGUCUCUAGAAAAAUAAAAAUAAAAUUAAAAAAUAAAAAUACAUAUAUACACAAAUACAGAAAGAGAUACACCAAAUAUGAAAGAGAUACACCAAAAAUAAAAUGAUUACAGUUUGUUUUUAAUCUGCAUUUUCCUAUACAUCUAACAUUUAUAUAUUACAAUUAUAAAAACUUCAUAAGCAAUUUUGUACAAGAACAUUUAUUCCAGUAUUUUAUAGAAUACUGAAAUAUUGGAAAUAGUCUAAAUAGUCAACAAUAAGGGGUUGGCAUAAUAAGUUGCUGUAUCUCUAAGGAGGAAUUUAUAUAACCAUUAAAAAUUAAUAUUGCCAUAGAAAAUACUGUUGAUUUUUAAAAACUUGUUACUAAGCUAAAUCUGUUAUUAUAAUAUACAAUAAGACCCUGAUUUGGUUUUACUCAUAUUUUCUAAAGGAAAUACAAUAAAUUUCCAUAGAGGUUUUCUCUAUACUGUUAACAUUAUGCCACUUUUAAUUUUCUUCUUUGUGUAACGUAAAAUUUUAAUAGUAAACACAAUUUGCUCAUAAUUUUGCUUUUUUAAAAAUUAAAGGAAAAUAUAGUAGGAAAUCAUAAAAUUUGGGUCUUGUUUUGAUUGUGCCUCUAGCUGUUUUACUUCAGUACUUCCAUUUUCCAGCCUUGUAUUUCUUCAUCUAUAAAACCAAUUUGAUUAAUUUAUCAAUUUCUCUAGCAAGUCUCUGACCCCUCUGAAAUCUUAUCAGUAACAUAUUUAGUUUUACCUUUUUGAUAUCACUGUUUCGAUUUAAAGAAUAGGAUGGUUUUGGCCAAGCGUGGUGGCUCACGCCUGUAAUCCCAGCACUUUGGGAGGCUAAGGUGGGCGGAUCACCUGAGGUCAGGAGUUCGAGACCAGCCUGCCCAACAUGGUAAAACCCCAUCUCUACUAAAAAUAUAAAAAAAAAAAAAUUAGCCGGACGUGGUGGUGGGCACCUGUAAUUCCAGCUACUCAGGAGGCUGAGGCAGGAGAAUCACUUGAACCCAGGAGGCAGAUGUUGCGGUGAGCCGAGAUCACACCACUGCACUCCAGCCUAGGUGACAAGAGUGAAACUCUUGUUUCAAAAAAAAAAAAAAGAAUAGGAUGGGUUUGAUUCAUUUUUCUGUUAUUUCUUAUUUGUUAAGGCCAUAUUUUUUAGAAACUACUUGUGGUUUAU